RNAcentral lists this long non-coding RNA (1542 nucleotides) under Macaca fascicularis (crab-eating macaque). RNAcentral describes it as "lncRNA (ENSMFAG00000056335.1)". Lineage: Eukaryota; Metazoa; Chordata; Mammalia; Primates; Cercopithecidae. The record is from RNAcentral.
GGGGGUGAGGGAUACAGAAGCUACAUAUUGAGUACAAUGUACAGUAGUCCAGUGAUGGGUGCAAUAAAAUUUCAGACUUUACACCACUAUACAAUUCAUCCAUGUAACCAGAAACCACUUGUACCCCUAAAGCUAUUGAAAUAAAAAGCUAGAUGAGUUCUCCCACCUUUCUCUCCCCACCAAAAUCCUUGCUUUAGAUACAAUAAAAGUAGGCAAUCUGAUCUGUGUUCUAUAUGUGUUAGAUGUGUAUUACUGGUGAAAUAACAAGAGAAAGCAAGAUAUUUGACCAGUAAAAAGACUAGGAGGCAAGAUAUAUCUAAUAUAUCAAGCAAACCUUUUGCCAUGUGACUGAAAGCAAAUACACUUCCUAAGACUUCAGUAGUUUUUGGUUAUCCUAUCUGUAAAAUUGGUCAAUAACCUUCAGAACAGAAGUCUGGUCCAGAUUAUCUCUAUAUAUCUUUUCCAGAUCACUAAUCUUUGAAUCCAGUUGUGCUUCAACCAAAGAGAUGUUCUCCUGAAAAUGUUUUUUAUUAAGUAAAUCACUUUCUCAUUUAUUAGUUUCUAAGUUAUUACCAAUGUAACGUUUUGAGGCUGGGCACGGUGGCUCAUGCCUGUAAUGCCAGCGCUUUGGGAGGCCGAGGCGGGAGGAUCACUUGAGGUCAGGAGUUUGAGAACAGCCUGGCCAACAUGGCAAAACCCCGUCUCUAUUAAAAGAACAAAAGUUAGCCGGGUGUGGUGGCACAUGUCUGUGAUUCCAGCUACUCAGGAGGCUGAGGCAUGAGAAUCGCUUGAACCUGGGAGGCGGAGGUUGCAGUGAGCUGAGAUUGUGCCACUGCACUCCAGCCUGGGCUGCACAGUGAGACUCCGUCUCAAAACAACAAAAAUAACAUUUGAUACCAAUCAGAAUGGAAUUCUUUUUUGUUAAGAUUUCUCUUGGCCCCUGAUUGUUCAUUAGAUGUCAAAUAUUGUGAAAACAUUUGAUGCAAGGACCUGGGUCACAGUGAACAAUGUCCAAGGGUAUCAAUGAUAAGUUUUUCCUACUGUUUUUGUUCCAGUUCAGAUACUGCUUUAUGUCUUCACUCCUUUGGGUUUUUUGCCCCCUUUUUUUUUCUGAAUCCAGCCCCUCCCUUUGGAGGGCUGAAUUUCUUCUUUACUUAUCUUGCCUUUCAUCAAGUAGAUCCAUAUGGAGAGAUGAAAGCCAUUAGUCUUAUCCCAUGAUUCCACAUAAUGUGAAUGAGGCCAGGCAUUGGUGCUCGUGCCUGUAGUCCCAGCACUUUGGGAGACUGAGGUGGAAGAAUUGCUUUAACCCAGGAGUUUGAGACCAGCCUGGGCCACAUGUGGGACCCCACCCUGUCUACAAAAAUCAAAAUUAGCCAGUUGUGGUGUGCACCUGUGGUCCCAGCUGUCUGGGGAGGAUGAAGCAGGAGGAUCCUUUGAGCCUGGGAAGUCGUGGCUGCAGUGAGCCAUGAUUGCACCACUGCACUCCAUUCUGGGUGACAGAGAGAGGCCCUGUCUCAAAAAAAAAAAGAAAAGAAAAAAAAA